CGGGGUGCAGCAGGCGCGAAAACUUUACAAUGCCGGCAACGGCGAUAAGGGAACCUCGAGUGCCAGGUUACAAAUCUGGCUGUCGUGAUGCCUAAAAAGCAUUGCAUAGCAAGGGCCGGGCAAGACCGGUGCCAGCCGCCGCGGUAACACCGGCGGCUCGAGUGGUAACCGUUAUUAUUGGGUCUAAAGGGUCUGUAGCCGGCCGGGUAAGUCUCUUGGGAAAUCUGGCAGCUUAACUGUCAGGCUUUCAGGAGAUACUGCCUGGCUCGAGGCCGGGAGAGGUGAGAGGUACUUCAAGGGUAGGGGUGAAAUCUUGUAAUCCUUGAAGGACCACCAGUGGCGAAGGCGUCUCACCAGAACGGACCUGACGGCAAGGGACGAAAGCUAGGGGCACGAACCGGAUUAGAUACCCGGGUAGUCCUAGCCGUAAACGAUACUCGCUAGGUGUCGGCCACGGUGCGACCGUGGUCGGUGCCGUAGGGAAGCCGUGAAGCGAGCCACCUGGGAAGUACGGCCGCAAGGCUGAAACUUAAAGGAAUUGGCGGGGGAGCACAAGGG
RNAcentral lists this ribosomal RNA (558 nucleotides) under uncultured archaeon. RNAcentral's name for it is "bacterial SSU rRNA". It matches the Rfam family "Archaeal small subunit ribosomal RNA", at positions 326 to 887 of the family's 1478-position model. The record is from RNAcentral.